AGCAGCCGCGGUAAUUCCAGCUCCAAUAGCGUAUAUUAAAGUUGUUGCAGUUAAAAAGCUCGUAGUUGAAUUUCGGGGUUAGUAGAUUGGUCAUGCCUCUGGUAUGUACUGGUCUCACUGAUUCCUCCUUCCUGAUGAACCUUAAUGCCAUUAAUUUGGUGUUUUGGGGAAUUUGGACUGUUACUUUGAAAAAAUUAGAGUGUUUAAAGCAAGCUAACGCUUGAAUACAUUAGCAUGGAAUAAUGAAAUAGGACGUUCGAUCCUAUUUUGUUGGUUUCUAGGAUUGACGUAAUGAUUAAUAGGGAUAGUUGGGGGCAUUAGUAUUCAAUUGUCAGAGGUGAAAUUCUUGGAUUUAUUGAAGACUAACUACUGCGAAAGCAUUUGCCAAGGAUGUUUUCAUUAAUCAAGAACGAAAGUUAGGGGAUCGAUGACGAUCAGAUACCGUCGUAGUCUUAACCAUAAACUAUGCUGACUAGGGAUCGGAUGAUGUUAAUUUUUUAAUGACUCA
This 508-nucleotide ribosomal RNA is filed under the name uncultured glomeraceous AM fungus. RNAcentral describes it as "SSU rRNA". It matches the Rfam family "Eukaryotic small subunit ribosomal RNA", at positions 569 to 1078 of the family's 1831-position model. Lineage: Eukaryota; Fungi; Glomeromycota; Glomeromycetes; Glomerales; Glomeraceae. The record is from RNAcentral.